Molecule: ribosomal RNA, 425 nt
Filed under: Bufo stejnegeri (Korean water toad)
Lineage: Eukaryota; Metazoa; Chordata; Amphibia; Anura; Bufonidae
Description: partial 12S ribosomal RNA
Rfam family: Bacterial small subunit ribosomal RNA
Source: RNAcentral
ACUACGAGCUUAGCUUAAAACCCAAAGGACUUGACGGUACCCCAUAUCCCCCUAGAGGAGCCUGUUCUAUAAUCGAUAAUCCACGUUUAACCUCACCAUUUUUAGUUAUUCAGCCUGUAUACCUCCGUCGUCAGCUUACCACGUGAGCGCCAAUUAGUGAGCUUAAUGUUUAUUCACCAACACGUCAGGUCAAGCUGCAGCAAAUGAAAUGGAAAGAGAUGGGCUACACUUUCUAAAUUAGAAGAAACGAAAAACUAUUUAUGAAACCUAGUUAGAAGGCGGAUUUAGCAGUAAAAAGGAAUCAGCACAUCCAUUUUAACCCGGCACUGGGGUGUGUACACACCGCCCGUCACCCUCUUCAAAGCUAUCAGCCUAGUCCUUAACAAACUAAAGCUCGACAGAAGAGGCAAGUCGUAACAUGGUAA